GCUGAAUCCAGAAAAGGGAAGAUUGGCAUCCAGAGUGUUUGGAGAGUGGGCCCAUAAGAGAACAUUGUGUGUGUAUGUGUGUGUGUGUGUGUGUGUGUGUGUGUGUGUGUGUGCACGUGCACGCACGUAUGUGUUGGGGGCUGUGUAGCUUCUCCUAACUUCACCAUGCAGAAGUCAAGGAAACGGUUACAGAGGCAAAAUGUGGGAGUAGCUAAUGGCAAUGGCCCAGAGAGAUGAAAAAAUGUGAGAAAACCAAAGCUUGGAGGUAGGAACUUUCCGAUUCUUUUGGAGUAGACUAAGGUGACUUAAGUAGGAAAAGAACGCAUAGCCAGUAACUCUCCCAACAGAACUGGAUUCGUGCCUGGGGUGAUUCAGGAUGUCCAGUUAAGCUGGGAAAUACUGAUUCCACUGAUCCCCUUCAUUCACUCAGAGCAGACCGAAGACUGUGAGACUUCCUCCCCACAGUGAGCUAAAAGGACGCUUUUGUCAGAGUGGGGAAAUAAAAGGGCUUUAUGGGAAGGAAGAUAAGAACAGAUGAGUCAGAGGUUUCUGCUUAAUGCUCACUCUUCAAUUCUUUCCCGAGCAAAACCAAGAAUCUUCUUGGGCUAAGCCCCAAUUUGGGGUUCACCUGCCUUGCAGCAACAUGGCACCAAACAUGCGGCAGAAGAGAGAAAACGACAGCAUGAGAGACGGAGAAAGAAAUGGCCAGUUGGCAAGGUGGUAAUGAGAGACAGCAGUUGGCAAGACAGUGAGAGACAGCAAGAGAUGGUGGUACAGCCAAGCAGACAGGCAAGUAAGUGGCCAUACUGCUACUGCCUCAUGUAGGAUCCGGCAGGCUGGUGGGUUAUCAGUCCUCACGUGGGACCCUCCCACCAUGGCAGCUGAGCACAUCCAAGCUGGGGGAUCCUGAAGAGACCUUCACCUGGGUGCCACGUGGAAGAUUGGCCAGCACCAUUUUGACUCCUGUGGAUGGGAAACCCUGGAACAGUGUCUAUAAGUCAUGAAAAACAGAGCAAUUGAAAUGGAAUCUCACUUGGGACCCCAGUCACUGCUCCAGACUGACCAGUCAGUGGACAAGGCUUCUCGCAUUGCUCACCAGCACCCAAACUGCACCUGGUCACCUGUCUACAUUCAGAUUUAGAUGAAAGCCACACCAUGGAGGCAGCCAGAGGCCCAUGGGAGAUGUCUGGAUUCGCAGAGGAAUAGCUCCAUGUGAUGCAAACCUUGACUAAUGGGAACAGGAAAAGGGAGGAAACCAGGAAGAUAAAUCUCCCUCCCUUCUCAUUGCUCCUUGCAACCCUUCCCACUUGAAGCAUGACCACAUUUAAUGAACAACCUGCUGUGUCUCUUGGAAGCUUGCUGCAAGGCAGCAAUCAGCACAAUAACAUUGUAUUGUAUCUUCCUCUGCUUCACUUCUCUUCCUCCCUCACCCUCACUGCCCUGAGCUGGCACAUCCCAAAGAAAGCAUUACCACAUUAAUCCUUGUCUCAGACUCUGCUUUCAAGAGGAUCUAGGUGAAGGAAAUUCCUAUUACUCCACCUCUUCAUCACCUCUUCAAAUGUCAGACUUUAAAAAUGGUGUCAUUUUGUUGAGUGUAUCUCAUUGUGGUUUUAAUUUGCAUUUUCCUGAUUAUGAAUGGGGUUGGCUAACUUUUCCUAUGUUUAUUGGAUUUCUUCAUUUUUGAAGUGCUUGUUUAAGUUUUCUACUAAUUUUUCUAUUGGGUUGUCUUUUUUUUUUCUUUCUUUCUUUUUAAGACAGAAUCUUGCUCUGUUGCCCUGGCUAGAGUGCAGUGAUGUAAUAAUAGCUCACUGAAACCUCGAACUCCUGGGCUCAAGCAAUUAUCCCAUCUCGGCCUCCCAAGUAGCUGGAACUACAGGUGUGCACCACUACCACCAUGC
This 1898-nucleotide long non-coding RNA is filed under the name Homo sapiens (human). Its description in RNAcentral is "HSALNT0006022". The record is from RNAcentral. Lineage: Eukaryota; Metazoa; Chordata; Mammalia; Primates; Hominidae.